RNAcentral lists this ribosomal RNA (422 nucleotides) under uncultured bacterium. RNAcentral's name for it is "bacterial SSU rRNA". It matches the Rfam family "Bacterial small subunit ribosomal RNA", at positions 355 to 774 of the family's 1533-position model. The record is from RNAcentral.
UGAGGAAUAUUGGGCAAUGCCCGCAAGGGUGACCCAGCAACGCCGCGUGGAGGAUGAAUGUCGUAAGAUUGUAAACUCCUGUUAGAGGGGAAGAAUAGUACCGGUUGGACCGGUAUAUGACUGUACCCUCAGAGAAAGCCCCGGCUAACUACGUGCCAGCAGCCGCGGUAAUACGUAGGGGGCAAGCGUGGUCCGGAUGUACUGGGUGUAAAGGGCGCGCAGGCGGGAUAAAAAGUCAGUGGUGAAAUCCUACAGCUUAACUGUAGAACUGCCUUUGAUACUUUUAUUCUUGAGUUCGGUAGAGAGAGACGGAAUUCCAGGUGUAGUGGUGAAAUACGUAGAUAUCUGGAAGAACACCAGUGGCGAAGGCGGUCUCUUGGUCCGAUACUGACGCUGAGGCGCGAAAGCGUGGGGAGCAAACA